RNAcentral lists this long non-coding RNA (824 nucleotides) under Triticum aestivum (bread wheat). RNAcentral describes it as "long non-coding RNA (TAES_LNC003291)". Lineage: Eukaryota; Viridiplantae; Streptophyta; Magnoliopsida; Poales; Poaceae. The record is from RNAcentral.
GUUUGUGUGUGGCUCGCACUAACCAGCACGGUGAUGAAGACUACCGUGGGUCAACGCUAUUCUGCCUCCUCUGUCGUGUGCAGUUUGCCGCCUGCUGCACCAUCGGAGAUUGCCUCGCAGUCCAUAUUUCAAGCUCGUGCAGCUUACAGACUACAUAUGUGUGGUGCGGCUAUGUGUGCUUGACUGCUUGCACAUCUGUCUCUCUCUUAUUUCUCUAACACCCGUCCACUUUGUUGGUAUGUAGGUGGUACAAAGGCCAGCGAGAAAAGCUCCAACAAUGGACAUAAAUGCAAUGGCCAGAGCCACCUCGCAGUGACUUGAAUCAAUUUAGAAAACAAGCCGUGGUCAACUGUUUUGUCUUCUUUUAAAAAAAUCUAAGUGCACUAUAGUCAUUGUCUUGCGGUUCAGUUGACAAGAAACCGUAACACAUCAGCAUGCCGUUUGGUGUUUUUUCUGCAGUUCACUACUCUCAUUCGUGUCACUUUGGACUCUGUUUCUUUUUUGCUUUUUUGGAUGGGAAUCUUCGGUGCACUGAAGUUUCCUAUCCGUUGUUCUUGCGGUCAAUUUACUAGUUUUUGCAGGAGAUGGGGGACAACAAAAAGAGAGAAAAAUGAAUGUGACUCCAGGAUGCCUCUGCUCCGACGGUAUAAUGCGGAUGAAUGUGGAAUCAGCUAUAGUACACUACAUUCGACCAAAUGGUCCAGAUGCGUUUAUAAGAAGUUAAAAAAAUUAAUGGAGUUCACUAAACUCGCCAUGUAGUCUUGAUGCAUUUAUAAAAAAAAGUUAGAACAAGACAAAAAUUAUGAACUUCAAAUUAACGGGGA